Molecule: transfer RNA, 71 nt
Filed under: Listeria monocytogenes
Lineage: Bacteria; Bacillati; Bacillota; Bacilli; Caryophanales; Listeriaceae
Description: tRNA-Lys
Rfam family: tRNA
About the family: Transfer RNA (tRNA) molecules are approximately 80 nucleotides in length. Their secondary structure includes four short double-helical elements and three loops (D, anti-codon, and T loops).
Source: RNAcentral
GCCGUUAGCUCAGUUGGUAGAGCAUCUGACUUUUAAUCAGAGGGUCGCUGGUUCGAACCCAGCACGGCUCA